Molecule: long non-coding RNA, 136 nt
Organism: Rhagoletis zephyria (snowberry fruit fly)
Lineage: Eukaryota; Metazoa; Arthropoda; Insecta; Diptera; Tephritidae
Source: RefSeq, a predicted model, not a curated record
UAAAUUCGCCACGGUAUAUAUUUAAAGCUCGUCGGCGAUUUCAAGCAUCCGUUGUUGGUUACCCCAGCAACCGAGGCAAUCGGAGAUCGUCGUGUCACACGUACUUGUUGUCGGCUCGUGUUGAUGGAAAAUCAAA